UCCGGUUUGUCACCGGCAGUCUCCCUAGAGUGCUCGGCCGAACCGCUAGCAACUAAGGACAAGGGUUGCGCUCGUUACGGGACUUAACCCAACAUCUCACGACACGAGCUGACGACAGCCAUGCAGCACCUGUCUCAGCGCUCCCGAAGGCACCCGCCGAUCUCUCGGCAGUUCGCUGGAUGUCAAGACCUGGUAAGGUUCUUCGCGUUGCAUCGAAUUAAACCACAUGCUCCACCGCUUGUGCGGGCCCCCGUCAAUUCAUUUGAGUUUUAACCUUGCGGCCGUACUCCCCAGGCGGUCUGCUUAUCGCGUUAGCUGCGCCACCGAGGCCUCAAGGACCCCAACGGCUAGCAGACAUCGUUUACGGCGUGGACUAC
Molecule: unclassified non-coding RNA, 377 nt
Filed under: uncultured bacterium
Lineage: Bacteria
Description: contains 16S-23S intergenic spacer region
Source: RNAcentral